AGGACUAACGCUGGCGGCGUGCCUAACACAUGCAAGUCGAACGAAGGUAGCAAUACCUUAGUGGCAGACGGGUGAGUAACACGUGGUCAACCUACCUUAGUGUGGGGGAUAACUAGCCGAAAGGUUAGCUAAUACCGCAUACGAUCUUCGAGCGGCAUCGCUUGAAGAUGAAAGGAGCAAUCCGCACUAAGACGGGACCGCGUCCCAUUAGCUAGUUGGUGGGGUAACGGCCUACCAAGGCGACUAUGGGUAGCUGGCUUGAGAGAGCGACCAGCCACACUGGGACUGAGACACGGCCCAGACUCCUACGGGAGGCAGCAGUGAGGAAUUUUCCGCAAUGGGCGAAAGCCUGACGGAGCGACGCCGCGUGUGGGAAGAAGGCCUUCGGGUCGUAAACCACUGUCGAAGGGGAAGAUAUUGACGGUACCCUUGGAGGAAGCCCCGGCUAACUACGCGCCAGCAGCCGC
Molecule: ribosomal RNA, 467 nt
Filed under: uncultured bacterium
Lineage: Bacteria
Description: SSU rRNA
Rfam family: Bacterial small subunit ribosomal RNA
Source: RNAcentral